GGGCAUGUGGCUCAGUGGUGGAGUACUUGCCUGGCAUGCAGGAGGCCCUGGGUUCCAUCCCCAGUGUGACAG
This 72-nucleotide transfer RNA is filed under the name Fukomys damarensis (Damara mole-rat). It matches the Rfam family "tRNA". From Rfam's summary of the family: Transfer RNA (tRNA) molecules are approximately 80 nucleotides in length. Their secondary structure includes four short double-helical elements and three loops (D, anti-codon, and T loops). Further hydrogen bonds mediate the characteristic L-shaped molecular structure. tRNAs have two regions of fundamental functional importance: the anti-codon, which is responsible for specific mRNA codon recognition, and the 3' end, to which the tRNAs corresponding amino acid is attached (by aminoacyl-tRNA synthetases). tRNAs cope with the degeneracy of the genetic code in two manners: having more than one tRNA (with a specific anti-codon) for a particular amino acid; and 'wobble' base-pairing, i.e. permitting non-standard base-pairing at the 3rd anti-codon position. The record is from Rfam by way of RNAcentral. Lineage: Eukaryota; Metazoa; Chordata; Mammalia; Rodentia; Bathyergidae.